CCUACGGGAUGCAGCAGUAGGGAAUCUUCCACAAUGGGCGAAAGCCUGAUGGAGCAACGCCGCGUGGGUGAAGAAGGUCUUCGGAUCGUAAAACCCUGUUGUUAGAGACGAAAGUGCGUGAGAGUAACUGUUCACGUUUCGACGGUAUCUAACCAGAAAGCCACGGCUAACUACGUGACAGCAGCCGCGGUAAUACGUAGGUGGCAAGCGUUAUCCGGAUUUAUUGGGCGUAAAGGGAACGCAGGUGGUCUUUUAAGUCUGAUGUGAAAGCCUUCGGCUUAACCGGAGUAGUGCAUUGGAAACUGGGUGACUUGAGUGCAGAAGAGGAGAGUGGAACUCCAUGUGUAGCGGUGAAAUGCGUAGAUAUAUGGAAGAACACCAGUGGCGAAAGCGGCUCUCUGGUCUGUAACUGACGCUGAGGUUCGAAAGCGUGGGUAGCAAACAGGAUUAGAUACCCUUGUAGUC
Molecule: ribosomal RNA, 465 nt
Filed under: uncultured bacterium
Lineage: Bacteria
Description: partial 16S ribosomal RNA
Rfam family: Bacterial small subunit ribosomal RNA
Source: RNAcentral